This 2613-nucleotide long non-coding RNA is filed under the name Oryza sativa (Asian cultivated rice). Its description in RNAcentral is "long non-coding RNA (OSAT_LNC001559)". Lineage: Eukaryota; Viridiplantae; Streptophyta; Magnoliopsida; Poales; Poaceae. The record is from RNAcentral.
CCGUCACGCCGCCACCGCCCCUCCCACCGCGUGAGCGUCGCCGGCCACCGCGCCCCCGCCGCACGGGCCGCCAGCCACCGCCCCUCCCACCGCGCGGGCCGCGGGCCGCCGCCCCUCCUGCCGCGCGGGCAUCGCCGGCCAUCUCCCUCCUGCUGCCACUCUAGAUGGCACUCUUCCAUCUACAGGGGUGUUUUAGACAUUAGGAACCACACAUAAUGUGAAAAUGAAGGAAACCUAAUGGAAAGGGCAUGGAAGGUAUCAAAGCAAAAUUUUAGGGGUACAGAGGGGAUCGUGUAAAAUUGGAGGGUAUAGAAGAGAUUAGGUGAGUUUUCAUGUGUACACAAGGGAUUUACUCUUCUUCUUUCAUUUUGCACCGUUGUGAAUUUGCGAUCCGAGAUGCGCUUUCCUGCCCUUAUGUGGCCACAUAAGCUGCAACUCUCCGAUCAAUGCCUCUCCUCACCAGCAAUAGUAGCGGGAGAAGCCUAGGUUCAGCAAUCAGGAGGGAAGGCAGCAAGGUUCGUCAGCUCUAAUCCAAAAACACAGCUCCUCAAUGCACAACUUUUCUCUGUAGGUGAAGGCCCUCGCUCCUGCAAACAACAGGUUUCUGAUGAUUUUAUGAAUGAGGCUCCUCUUUGGAUGUUUGCUUCUUAUAUGUGUUUUAUUUUACAUUAAUUAAUUGCCCUUCUGACAAAAAAGGGAGAUAUCAGAUUAGACAAACUAAGAACUGAAUCCUAUGAUGCAGGCAAGCAAUGGCAUCCUCUGCAAUCAAUAAAGGUUUCCACUUUUCAGCACUCCCAACUAGCUUUUUCUUUUAGUUUCAGUAAGAACUUUGAUUGAAUGUUAAGUACGCCAUCAUCCUCCCAAGAAAAUGUGGAACUGCAUGUUGCAUGUUGGUAAAUAAUAAUUGAUAAAAGGUACUGACUGCAAAACCCAAAAUUGCAGUCACCAAUUGCUUCUAAUAAAAUUGGUGCACACAUGUUUUAGUUUCCUAAUAAAAUAAUUUGCUGGCAAUUGUGGCAUACUAUAAAGCCCAUGUCCUGCUUUACCUUGGACAGAUAAUAAGAGCAUUGUAUAUACCCAUAGGUGCACUUACAAUUAUCCCUUUUUCUUGGUGUGUGCAGAAAGAUAGUUUUGCAAUUGACUUGGCAUAUUUACUGUUAGUGGCAGCGAUCAUGGUUAUCACUCUUUCAAGUAAUAAUGAUGUUGCCCUCUUGAUAAAAGUUAUUCUCUCUUCAGGUUUUCUUUGCAUAUAUUUCAGAUUUUUAUUGAUUGCACAUCAGUGACUAUGUUUGAUGCUUUACAAUACAAAAUUCCUUUCUAAAUUUGUAGGAAAGCUGGAAAAAAAAUCGGAACAUAAGUGCAGAACUGACCUUUUGGUUAAAUCUACCGAUGACUGAUAAUACUAUUUUGUUAGUUCAUUGUGUGGCGUAAUGUUUUGAACUGUUCGAUAAAAUCCCUGGUAAUCUUUUUUUUGUUUUCAUCUGUUUGCAUUUGCAAAGCAACUCAUUUAAUUAGCUAGCUUUAGGUUGCUUAAUUACAUUUUUAUAUAGCUAAAGUUUCUCCUCCUUUAUUUCAAGUAAAGAUGUUUCUUCUCUGGAAUUUUGAUAUUGUAGAGUUCUAAUGAGUUUUAAUUACUAACGAUAUAAGGCAUAAAUUUUAUCCAUCAAUAUAUGCUUCUGAUUAUUUCAUAUAUUAUUUUCAAUAGAUGGAGCUUGGCUCAUAAAUGCAAUGGGUGAUUUAUGGCCUUUAAAGGGUUUCACUGCAUAAGGUAUUGUGAUUUUAGGCAGUUUUAGCAGCCUUCCGAGCUAAUGCACAUCAAAAUAAUUUUCUUGCUAAUAUGUGUAUUUAACAAGAAAUAACCGAUUCAGGCAAUGAAAUCGCUUUCCAGAUUGGGCUAUAAUUAAUUGCUCAGCAAAGAUGUCGAACUAGAUAUGUAGACUAAUCCUAAUAGGCAAGGAAAAAAAAGAGGAUAUAUUCACAAAAUGAUAAAGUUGUUUCCAGAAUGUUCACACUUGGUAUAUUCUUUUUACUUCAAUUAAGGCAACCAUGUUGAAUACUAUUUUGAUGAUGAUUUUCUGAAAUACCACUGUGAUGACUAUUUUUUGGAAGUGAAAGAGAUAAAUUUCUACUUGCAUAGUAUAUAAACUCAUUGGUAAUCAUGUAAAUGCCAUUUUAAUUUCAGAUCAAGAUGAGUAUAUUUGAAGUAGCGGGGUGAAGAGAAGCUAUUAUGUACAUGGUGGAGCUGGAGAUGUGGAGUCAUUUUUUUGGAUUAUAUAAUGUAGACAGUGGAGUUCAUUUCAAUGCCAUAAAGACAUAUAUUGCUCUGAGCUUUUCAAAUGUUUAUCGAGCUUUAUAUGACAAAUUAUGUAGCUGCUUUGCAUUUUUUAGUGUUUAAAAGCGGUUAUAAAGUAGUAUGUCAAAUUACAUUAGUAGAUAACUCUGAGUAUGUAUGUUUUGUGUGAUAUAUAUUACAGGAAAAUGCAAUAAAUUUUGUCUUUAUAUGAUUGCAGUGACAUAAAUUGUUGAAGCACGUACACGAUUACUAGUACUAGUAAAAGACUCAGUUUUGAACUUCUUCGAGGUCCAAGUUUCAACCUCUUGCAGCAAUAAGCC